ACGGGUGAGUAACACGUGGGUAACCUGCCCUGUACUCUGGGAUAAGCCUUGGAAACGAGGUCUAAUACCGGAUACGACCUUUGAUCGCAUGAUCAGGGGUGGAAAGUUCCGGCGGUAUGGGAUGGACCCGCGGCCUAUCAGCUUGUUGGUGGGGUAAUGGCCUACCAAGGCGACGACGGGUAGCCGGCUUGAGAGGGUGACCGGCCACACUGGGACUGAGACACGGCCCAGACUCCUACGGGAGGCAGCAGUGGGGAAUAUUGCACAAUGGGCGAAAGCCUGAUGCAGCGACGCCGCGUGAGGGAUGACGGCCUUCGGGUUGUAAACCUCUUUCAGCAGGGACGAAGCGCAAGUGACGGUACCUGCAGAAGAAGCACCGGCUAACUACGUGCCAGCAGCCGCGGUAAUACGUAGGGUGCGAGCGUUGUCCGGAAUUAUUGGGCGUAAAGAGCUCGUAGGCGGUUUGUCGCGUCGGCCGUGAAAACUUGGGGCUUAACUCCAAGCUUGCGGUCGAUACGGGCAGACUUGAGUUCGGCAGGGGAGACUGGAAUUCCUGGUGUAGCGGUGAAAUGCGCAGA
Molecule: ribosomal RNA, 578 nt
Filed under: uncultured bacterium
Lineage: Bacteria
Description: bacterial SSU rRNA
Rfam family: Bacterial small subunit ribosomal RNA
Source: RNAcentral